Long non-coding RNA from Mustela lutreola (European mink), 3067 nucleotides. RefSeq lists it as uncharacterized. The record is from RefSeq and is a predicted model, not a curated record. NCBI's taxonomy places the organism in Eukaryota, Metazoa, Chordata, Mammalia, Carnivora, Mustelidae. The transcript is spliced from 2 exons.
GAUUGUUGACAUUGCCUUCAGCCAGUGGAAGUAAAUGACUUAGUGAAUCUGAAGAAGGCCCACAGAAAGGCUCUGAUCCCUCCAACAUCUCAAAGAACAACUCACUGACCUCAUUAUACAUGUACAGUGAAGGAAAGAGAUCCACAGCUGGGUCAAUGAGUCUGGAACCAGAGGCUCCAGUGUCCUUCAAAUCUCCAAACAUCUCCACCCAUCUCGUGUGCUGUCACACAGCCCGGAGUGGAGCUCUCUCUGGUUGGUACCCUCUGAGAUGCCUCACCGUGAUCCCUGCUUCCUGUAAGUCAUACUCCUAUGUGAUCCCUUCCCAUAAGGGAUGGGCCGGACCUAGGGACUUACUUCUAACAGACAGAAGAUAGCGAAAGCAACUGGAUGUCGCUCCUGAGGUUAGGUUGCAGAAAGAGUGUAGAUUUUGUCUUAGAUGCUCUUGCCUACUUGUUCUGAAGGAUGCCCGCUGCCAUUUUGUGAGCCGCCCAAGGGGAGAUCCACAUGGCAGGGAACUGUGGGUGGCUUCCAGCAAACAGUCGGCAAGAGAAUGAGGCCUCCGGUCAUGCAGCCUCCAAGGAACUGAAUCCAGUUCAUGUGUGAGCUUGGAAGCUCAUGCUCCCCUAGUUGAGCCUUUAGAAGAGAUGACAGCCUGGCCAUCACCUCCACACAGCCUCAGUGGAGGCCUUGACCCAAAGGCAGCCAGAUAAGCCACACCUGGGUUCCUGAUCACAGAGACUGUGAGAUAAUCUGCAUUUUUAAAGCCUCCAAUCUGGGGGGGGGGCGGCAAUUUGUUAGUUGGUGAUAGGUCACCAAUCCAUCCAGAAAACCAAGGGAUCAGGACGGGAAUGUGCCUGCCCAGACGCAAGGUAGGUUCAGGAGUCUGGAACUAGAAAGAGCAGAAGGAGGAAGAACAGAACACGGAGUACAGGGCUUGUGUAGGGAGCAUAUGCUGACCUGGACGGAGUGUGGACCAAUGGUGAAGGCUGAGCAUGGGCUCUUGACCAGACUGCCUGGAUAUCAAGCCUGGCUCCAGCUUACCUCUUCAGAGCAGGUAUUUUACCUCCUUUAAACAUCAGCAAUCUCCUCUGUAACCCGAGGCCCUUAAACAUACCCACCUCACAGAGAUAAGCCCGUAAAGUGGGGGGUUCCCCUCCAGUUACGGAGUCAGGGUUCUAACAGUUACAAAUGGGGCUGGCCUAGCAAAGGCAGCAGAGUUCAUUUUACAGAAGAGCCUGUCCCCUCAGUGGGUGAGGGAGGAAGGUUGGGAGCUCCUCCUAAGGCAUUCACUGUCCAAGGCAGACAGGGUUUACAGAGGAUGUGUCAAGGAGCUGUUGGCUUACUUCUUGAGAUGGAUCAUCAGAUAUCGGAGGGUUUCAUAGUGGGCCGGCGGCAGCAGCAUCAGCACGUCAUGGACGGCUUCCAACCUCUCAUCUGCAUUGGAGAUUUCUGGGAAGAGCCCACAGAAGCAGUUAGUGCAGUGCUAGAACAUCAAAGUUUUCAGAGAAGUAAAAAGAAGUUUGGUUUGUUCUGGUGACAGGUGGAAGGGAAGUCUAGUGAGUUCACGCAAUUUUAGGUAACAUUUCACUUAAAUUAUAUCAAAGCAUUUGUAUCUUGUCUGAUUCCAGUAAGGGUUGGAGGUUGGGAACCACACAUGUGUUGAACACCCAGUGGGUGGGUGAAAGGAAGCUGGGCCUGGUCCUUGCCCCCCAGGAAUCUAUAGUCCUGGAGAUGUUUGCAGGUGGCACAGAUGGCUUUGCUCAUCUUCUGAAUGCUGGACUUGCUUGAAAUCUCAAUAUCAUGAGCUUUAAUUUAAACUGGACCAUACUUUGUAGGGUUCUCCUACAGCUGUCUGACAGCCUUUUCCUGCAAGGCUCCCAUGACUGAAUGCACUUUAUGACACAAGGGGGCUAGCCCACCGGUGCAGCUUGCAUUGAUGGCGCCGUUCAUCAAAGUGUUGGCAUGUUUAACUGUGCUGUACAGUCUGGGUUAGGAAGCAAAUACUAGGCAUGUUCACAAACAGAGGAAACAUGCAUGCUUUUGCUUUUUAGGGCUCUGAUUGGUAUUAGCAGUCAUUCAAGGAACACUCCCCCUCCAUUUCUGCUGGGGCAAAGGGUGCUGGGCUGCCAGAACCUUCUUCACCCAGGACCACCAGGACCCAGGAGAGAAGGCUCUUACCAGGAAGAGGGGCCAUGGCUCAUCAGGAAAGUGCAUCUUGCACUAAUCCCAGCCUGCCCACAUUUGUCCCCAUUGGGCAUCUUAUUAUUAUACUUACCUUUGAGGAAUUUCUUAUGAAAAAGAUCUUUAAAGGGUGCUUGUUUGCUAUGUCAUGCAUUCCAGCAUCUACUCUGCCCUUCCUUCCUAUGUUCCUGGGCAAAGUGCAGCACCGCUUCCCACUCCCUGCCCCCUAUCUCCCACCCUAAUAUGGUCCUCUCUCCUGACACCAGUCAACCCAAGUACCAAACACUAAUGAACAACCAUGGGCUGAAGGAAGACCAAUGAUGAUGAUGUUCGGUUCCUGUCCCUGAGUGCUCAGCUCUCAGACGCUAGCUUUCCUACUCAUAAGCCGCCUCAUCAAGUAGAUGAGUAGAUGGAGAACAUUAUGGAGUGGUCCUGGUAUAGCACGUGCCAUGGUAUUAUCAGUUGUGAACAUCAGUGAGCAAAGCUUGGGGUCUAACUUUAAUCGAUUAGCAAUGAGAGUGUGCUUAAUGGAUGAAAGUAGCUAAUCUAUAUAGUCCUCAUUGGAGAAAAUCUGCUUGUUUACACCAGACUCAUUAUUGUUUUUGAUAUAUAACAGAGUAGCCCCAGCUGGGCCAGUUCCAGCAGAGAAGAGACGAAAUGGAGAGAGAACUGCCUGGCGCCAAGCUUCAGCCGCAUGGAGGUAGCUUGGGACUUGUUCAACUCAGCUGGUGAACUAGGCCUGGUUUUCUAGUAACUGUACCAUUGUGCCCUCACUUGGCAAAGCGAGUGCUCAUGGAAUAAACAGUCCUGAGUUUUAAUUUUCUUGAAGUUAAAAGCAUUCUACUUUGCACUUUGGUACAAAUAAAAGGUUAGUUCUCAAUACUUA